This 1440-nucleotide ribosomal RNA is filed under the name metagenome. Its description in RNAcentral is "bacterial SSU rRNA". It matches the Rfam family "Bacterial small subunit ribosomal RNA". The record is from RNAcentral.
AGAGUUUGAUCCUGGCUCAGAGUUAACGCUGGCGGCGUGCCUAACACAUGCAAGUCGAGCGGAGUUACAGCUGUAGCAAUACAGUUUGUGCUCAGCGGCAGACGGGUGAGUAAUACGUAGACAACCUUCCUCUUAGAGGGGGAUAGCCCGCCGAAAGGCGGGGUAAUACCGCGUACGAUCAAGGGUCGGCAUCGAUCUUUGAUGAAACAUCCGCAAGGAUGGCUAAGAGACGGGUCUACGGCCUAUCAGCUAGUUGGUGAGGUAACGGCUCACCAAGGCUAAGACGGGUAACCGGCCUGAAAGGGUGGACGGUCACACUGACACUGAGACACGGGUCAGACACCUACGGGUGGCAGCAGUGAGGAAUCUUGGACAAUGGGGGCAACCCUGAUCCAGCGACGCCGCGUGAAGGAUGAAGGUCUUCGGAUUGUAAACUUCUUUUCUUUGGGAAUAAUAAAUCGGUAGAAAUAUCGAGAUUGAAUGUACCAGAGGAAUAAGCCACGGCUAACUUCGUGCCAGCAGCCGCGGUAAUACGAAGGUGGCAAGCGUUACUCGGAAUUACUAGGCGUAAAGGGCAGGUAGGCGGUUUAAUAAGUCUGUUGUGUCAGCUCCUGGCUUAACUGGGAGAGGUCAACGGAAACUAUUAGGCUUGAGUGUAGGAGAGGAUACUGGAAUUCCUGGUGUAGCGGUGAAAUGCGCAGAGAUCAGGAGGAACACCAAUGGCGAAAGCAAGUAUCUGGACUAUUACUGACGCUAAGCUGCGGAAGCUAGGGGAGCAAACAGGAUUAGAUACCCUGGUAGUCCUAGCUGUAAACGAUGCACAUUAGACGUGGGGGGUAUCGACCCCCCCCGUGUCGACGCAAACGCAUUAAAUGUGCCGCCUGGGGAGUACGGCCGCAGGGUUGAAACUCAAAGGAAUUGACGGGGGCCCGCACAAGCGGUGGAGCAUGUGGUUUAAUUCGACACAACGCGAAGAACCUUACCUAGGCUUGAACUGCUGGUAGUAAAAUCUAUGAAAGUAGAGAUGAACCGUAAAGCCGGAUGCCAGUAGAGGUGCUGCAUGGCUGUCGUCAGCUCGUGUCGUGAGAUGUUGGGUUAAGUCCCGCAACGAGCGCAACCCCUAUCCUACGUUGCCAUGUCCGGUAAGGACGGAACUCUUAGGAAACUGCCUCGGAUAACGGGGAGGAAGGUGGGGAUGACGUCAAGUCCCCAUGGCCUUUAUGUCUAAGGCUACACACGUGCUACAAUGGCCGGUACAACGAGCAGCAAAUCCGCAAGGACGAGCAAAUCUCUAAAAGCCGGCCCCAGUUCAGAUCGUGGGCUGCAAUUCGCCCACGUGAAGGUGGAAUCGCUAGUAAUCGGAGAUCAGCUGGCUCCGGUGAAUACGUUCCCGGGCCUUGUACACACCGCCCGUCACACCACGAAAGUUGGUUGCAACCA